UUUGGGGGCCUACGGGAGGCAGCAGUAGGGAAUCUUCCGCAAUGGGCGAAAGCCUGACGGAGCAACGCCGCGUGAGUGAUGAAGGUCUUCGGAUCGUAAAACUCUGUUAUUAGGGAAGAACAAACGUGUAAGUAACUGUGCACGUCUUGACGGUACCUAAUCAGAAAGCCACGGCUAACUACGUGCCAGCAGCCGCGGUAAUACGUAGGUGGCAAGCGUUAUCCGGAAUUAUUGGGCGUAAAGCGCGCGUAGGCGGUUUUUUAAGUCUGAUGUGAAAGCCCACGGCUCAACCGUGGAGGGUCAUUGGAAACUGGAAAACUUGAGUGCAGAAGAGGAAAGUGGAAUUCCAUGUGUAGCGGUGAAAUGCGCAGAGAUAUGGAGGAACACCAGUGGCGAAGGCGACUUUCUGGUCUGUAACUGACGCUGAUGUGCGAAAGCGUGGGGAUCAAACAGGAUUAGAUACCCUGGUAGUCCACGCCGUAAACGAUGAGUGCUAAGUGUUAGGGGGUUUCCGCCCCUUAGUGCUGCAGCUAACGCAUAAGCACUCCGC
This 550-nucleotide ribosomal RNA is filed under the name Staphylococcus hominis subsp. novobiosepticus. RNAcentral's name for it is "bacterial SSU rRNA". It matches the Rfam family "Bacterial small subunit ribosomal RNA", at positions 330 to 872 of the family's 1533-position model. Lineage: Bacteria; Bacillati; Bacillota; Bacilli; Caryophanales; Staphylococcaceae. The record is from RNAcentral.